This is a non-coding RNA of Cyanistes caeruleus (blue tit), 454 nucleotides long. The record is from RefSeq and is a predicted model, not a curated record. NCBI's taxonomy places the organism in Eukaryota, Metazoa, Chordata, Aves, Passeriformes, Paridae.
UCUCUUUGAGAUCUCCAGACUUCCUUAUGCGUGCAAGAAAUUUCCUGCUCUGCACUGACAUUUAUCCUUUUCUCAGUUUAAUCUCUGCAAACCAUUACAAUCUCUAAGUGAAAUCUGCACAAGGGAGUUUGAAAUCCUGAACAUGUCUGCUACAGCCAGGAACUUUCAUCUUCAUUCUCAGAUCUCUUUGGAUCUGGGCUGGGUACAGAGUUGGCAGUGUUGGAGAUACUUAACCACAAGUUAUGGAAAAAAUCCUUUAAAUUCUGAGAUUACAUUGUAAUUCUUGCUUUGUCCAGAAUCCUUACAUAUAAAAGAAUCCUCUACUUAUUAUCUGGAAGCUGGCAGAAAAAGAAAUGCCAGUGAGUUUGUUUAAAGAUACAAUUACGAAAUAAAACUUAAUGAAUGGCUGUAUUCCAGAAAAACCUGGAAUCUGAAAUAAAAGCAUCUCUGAGUC